Molecule: non-coding RNA, 805 nt
Filed under: Adaiphrotermes sp. KE15-174
Lineage: Eukaryota; Metazoa; Arthropoda; Insecta; Blattodea; Termitidae
Source: RNAcentral
GUGAAGUUUUAUUCUUGCUUUUUCAUUCAGUUUUUGUUUGUUUUAUAUGUAAGUUUGUGCGUGUUUUUGUUUGUUAUCUCUAAAUGGGUUACCAUAUUAUUUAUUAUUCUCAUUAGUUAUUAUUGGUUGGUCAAGUAUUCUUGUAUUUAGCAAUUCGUUUUAGUUUCGGUUAAAUUUUGUGCCAGCAGCCGCGGUUAUACCUUGGGGGCAUUUGAAUGAGUUCGGCGUUAUGUAGUUUUAUGUUUAAUUUUGUUGAUUUUAUUUUGCUAGUUUAUUAGGUGAAAUUUUUAUUGUUGUUUUGUCGUUUAUUAUUUUGGAGGCUAUGAAACUCUUUUUUUAGACUAGGAUUAGAUACCCUAUUAUUUGAGAGCGUUAAUUAUUGUGUCUGAGUAGUAUUAGUUAUGUUCUUGAAACUUAAAGAAUUUGGCGGUAUCUUAUUCCAUCCAGAGGAAUCUGUCUCGUUAUCGAUAGUCCGCGUUGGACCUUACUUAGUUGCUUUGGUUUGUAUACCGCCGUUUAUUGAUUAUCUUUUUAGAGUUUUUAAUUUUCUGGUUUCUUUAUUUUGGUUUAUUUCAGGUCAAGGUGCAGCUUGUUUCUAAGUGGAAUGAUGGAUUACAUUGUUAUUUGUUUAUUUGGAUUGUUGAUUUUAAUAUUAGCAUGAAAUUGGAUUUGGUUGUAAUGUUUUGUAGAUUGUUUUCAUGAUAAUUGGUUCUGGGAUAUGUACACAUCGCCCGUCGCUCUCGUUGGUUUUUAAUGAGAUAAGUCGUAACAAAGUGGUUGUACCGGAAGGUGCAGCUGGAUUGAU